GGCGCAUUCGUCUAGUGGUUAGGACACGGCCCUCUCAAGGCCGCAGCAGGGGUUCGAAUCCCCUAUGCGCUA
This 72-nucleotide transfer RNA is filed under the name Bacteroidetes/Chlorobi group bacterium MS-B_bin-24. RNAcentral describes it as "tRNA-Glu". It matches the Rfam family "tRNA". Rfam says of the family: Transfer RNA (tRNA) molecules are approximately 80 nucleotides in length. Their secondary structure includes four short double-helical elements and three loops (D, anti-codon, and T loops). Further hydrogen bonds mediate the characteristic L-shaped molecular structure. tRNAs have two regions of fundamental functional importance: the anti-codon, which is responsible for specific mRNA codon recognition, and the 3' end, to which the tRNAs corresponding amino acid is attached (by aminoacyl-tRNA synthetases). tRNAs cope with the degeneracy of the genetic code in two manners: having more than one tRNA (with a specific anti-codon) for a particular amino acid; and 'wobble' base-pairing, i.e. permitting non-standard base-pairing at the 3rd anti-codon position. Lineage: Bacteria; Pseudomonadati. The record is from RNAcentral.